Molecule: long non-coding RNA, 733 nt
Filed under: Vigna radiata
Lineage: Eukaryota; Viridiplantae; Streptophyta; Magnoliopsida; Fabales; Fabaceae
Description: long non-coding RNA (VRAD_LNC008681)
Source: RNAcentral
GUUUUACCAAUACUCCUUAUUGGUAACAAUCUCCCCCUUUUUGAUGAUGAUAAAAAAUUCUCUUUUUAAAAGCAACUCUGGUUUACCUGCAACACAUACAAGCUAAUAGACAACCAUAGAGUUAGCAGUACCUGUACAAGUGUAAAAUAUUUCUCCCCUAAAAUCUCCCCUUAUAUUUCUUCUCCCCCUUUUUGAUCAUAAGCAAAAAGAAUAAUUUAAAAAAAAUCUCCCCCUAAAUAUGAGCUCCCCCUCAAAAAUAUAAUAUAUGCAUAAAAAAGCUCAUUAUAUUAAGAACAGAAGGGAAUUACAAGAAAUUCAUAAAGAUCAAUACUAAGUACCACAAAGAAAAUAACAUAACAAUCAAACUUAGUGGCCUAAAACCUAGAAUUCAGGACUAGGGGAUCCUUCAAUAGGUGGGAUAUUUAGAUGACUCUUAAUGUUAGAUAGGCGAACAUUAAUUUCAUGAAAUUGAUCAACCACUUAAUCUAAAUGAGCUUGCUGUCACUCAUAAAUUUGAUCAAAGUAAGUUCUUUGGGCAAGACUUACAUCCUCCAGUUAUCACAAAAGUUCUCAAUCAAAAGCUUCACCCCCUCUUUUCAAAAAAUCAUCUAAAGUUUAUGCUCCCCAUAAAAUAGGUAAAUUAAAAAGGAUUUCCCGAAACUAUUCUACAGUAAAUUGACAGGCUAUAAAAAAUAAAAACUCUUGCCUUAGGUGUCGCUCGAUCAACCACCAC